Molecule: unclassified non-coding RNA, 420 nt
Filed under: fungal sp.
Lineage: Eukaryota; Fungi
Description: partial internal transcribed spacer region
Rfam family: Eukaryotic small subunit ribosomal RNA (bases 1-46)
Source: RNAcentral
AAGUCGUAACAAGGUUUCCGUAGGUGAACCUGCGGAAGGAUCAUUAACACGUAUCCAAACGUUAAAACAACCCUGUGAAUAUUGAAUCUCAGUUCCCCCAGGGCAGAAAAAUGGGCUUCCUCUAGUAAAUCAUUGUCUUAACAAGGUUUUGAGUUAGAGGAUGGCGCACGAGUAGCACCUGUAUUGGGUCGAGCGUUUACAACUAUCCACUCCUGGUGCCCCCAAGCAACCAUCAAUCUGAAAGUGUUUGGUGAAUUGUGCAAGGGCAGCGCAGUCAACGAUCGGUUCGGACUUUCGUCGGGCGCGGUAGACAUGCAUCAUGUUCAACCUGAAUGAACUAGGCCCCACAGGGAGGUAACGACCCCCGGUCGAUGGCCGUCCCUAACCGAACAACUGUUAACAAUGGAUAUCUUGGUUCUC